AUACGUAGGUGGCAAGCGUUGUCCGGAAUUAUUGGGCGUAAAGCGCGCGCAGGUGGUUCCUUAAGUCUGAUGUGAAAGCCCCCGGCUCAACCGGGGAGGGUCAUUGGAAACUGGGGAACUUGAGUGCAGAAGAGGAUAGUGGAAUUCCAAGUGUAGCGGUGAAAUGCGUAGAGAUUUGGAGGAACACCAGUGGCGAAGGCGACUGUCUGGUCUGUAACUGACACUGAGGCGCGAAAGCGUGGGGAGCAAACAGGAUUAGAUACCCUGGUAGUCCACGCCGUAAACGAUGAGUGCUAAGUGUUGGGGGGUUUCCGCCCCUCAGUGCUGCAGCUAACGCAUUAAGCACUCCGCCUGGGGAGUACGGUCGCAAGACUGAAACUCAAAUGAAUGGACGGGG
RNAcentral lists this ribosomal RNA (397 nucleotides) under uncultured bacterium. RNAcentral's name for it is "partial 16S ribosomal RNA". It matches the Rfam family "Bacterial small subunit ribosomal RNA", at positions 523 to 918 of the family's 1533-position model. The record is from RNAcentral.